AUUGAACGCUAGCGGGAUGCUUUACACAUGCAAGUCGAACGGCAGCGCGGACUUCGGUCUGGCGGCGAGUGGCGAACGGGUGAGUAAUGUAUCGGAACGUGCCCAGUAGCGGGGGAUAACUACGCGAAAGCGUAGCUAAUACCGCAUACGCCCUACGGGGGAAACAGGGGAUUGUUAGAACCUUCAACUUUUGGGCGGCCGGAUAUCGGAUUAGCUAGUUGGUGAGGUAACGGCUCACCAAAGCGACGAUCCGUAGCUGGUUUGAGAGGACGACCAGCCACACUGGGACUGAGACACGGCCCAGACUCCUACGGGAGGCAGCAGUGGGGAAUUUUGGACAAUGGGGGCAACCUUGAUCCAGCCAUCCCGCGUGUGCGAUGAAGGCCUUCGGGUUGUAAAGCACUUUUGGCAGGAAAGAAACGUCGCGGGCUAAUACCCCGUGGAACUGACGGUACCUGCAGAAUAAGCACCGGCUAACUACGUG
RNAcentral lists this ribosomal RNA (484 nucleotides) under uncultured bacterium. RNAcentral's name for it is "partial 16S ribosomal RNA". It matches the Rfam family "Bacterial small subunit ribosomal RNA", at positions 30 to 507 of the family's 1533-position model. The record is from RNAcentral.